This 1494-nucleotide ribosomal RNA is filed under the name Triticum aestivum (bread wheat). Its description in RNAcentral is "partial small subunit ribosomal RNA". The record is from RNAcentral. Lineage: Eukaryota; Viridiplantae; Streptophyta; Magnoliopsida; Poales; Poaceae.
AUGCUGGACGAGCUGGCGUCGAUCAACGACAAUGCCACUUGGACACUCACCACACUGCCUGCUGGGCACCGAGCCAUCGGGCUCAAGUGGGUGUUCAAGGUAAAGAAGGACGAGCACGGUGCCAUUGUCAAGCACAGGGCGCGCCUCGUCGCAAAGGGCUACGUGCAGCGUGAGGGAGUGGACUUCGAGGAAGUCUUCACUCCGGUGGCAAGGCUGGAGUCGGUACGGCUCAUCCUUGCCGUGGCCGCUCACCGCGGGUGGGAGGUACACCACAUGGAUGUCAAGUCGGCAUUUCUCAACGGUGACCUUAACGAGGAGGUGUACGUCUCCCAGCCACCCGGGUUCGUUGCAAAGGGCCACGAGCAGGGCGUGUAUCGACUACACAAGGCCCUGUAUGGUCUCCGGCAAGCCCCAAGGGCGUGGAACGCCAAGCUCGAUGCAAGCCUCGCAUCCCUUGGGUUCUCACGCAGCACUUCUGAGCACGGUGUGUACUCGCGUGGCACCGCGAACACGCUGCUCAUCGUCGGCAUCUACGUCGACGACCUGGUCAUCACCGGGGCAGAGCCUGAAGAGGUUCAACGCUUCAAGGGAGAGAUGCAUCGUCUCUUCAGUAUGAGCGACCUCGGGCUGCUCCGGUACUACCUUGGGCUGGAGGUGUACCAGGAGGGUGGUCGCAUCACGAUCACACAGACGGCCUACGCCACCAAGAUGCUCGAGCGAGCAGGCAUGAAGGACUGCUAUGCUGUACAUGCUCCAAUGGAGGCACGGCUGAAGCUCAGCAAGGAGAGCCCCAAGAAGGCGGUGGAUGUCACACUCUACCGUAGCAUCAUCGGGAGUCUCAGGUACCUCGUGCACACCCGACCGGACAUCACGUUUGUUGUCGGGUACCUGAGUAGGUUCAUGGAAGCUCCGGUAAGCGAUCACCUGGCUGCCAUCAAGCACCUGCUCCGGUACAUCACGGGUACGCUCACGCAUGGAUGCGUGUAUCGUCGUGGCGACGGCGAGAGCUUGGUCGGGUACAGCGACUCCGACCACGCUGGUGACGUGGACUCUCGAAAGAGCACCUCAGGCAUACUAUUCCUUCUCGGGAAUAGUCCCGUCAGCUGGCAAUCGGUGAGGCAGAAGGUUGUCGCUGUAUCUUCGUGCGAGGCAGAGUACAUCGCGGCAGCUAUAGCGGCAUGUCAGGGGAUUUGGCUUGCUCGCCUUCUCGGCGAGAUGCUGAAUCAGGACACCGCCCCUGCGCUCAUCUUCGUCGACAACAAGUCGGCGAUUUCCCUCUGUAAGAAUCCAGUGCUUCACGACCGCAGCAAACACAUCGAUCUCCGCUAUCACUUCAUACGUGACUGCGUCGAGAAAGGCUCGGUGAUCGUGGAGUUCAUCAGGACUGGUGAACAGAAGGCGGACAUCCUGACCAAGUCACUCGGUCGUGUCCGGUUUCAGGAGCUGCGCGACAAGGUCGGGAUCAUCAACACCAAGCUCCUUCGACAAGAUUGA